UAGUUAUCAAGAAAGGUGGAGGGAAUAGACCCGUUGAAGCCUUAGCAACCCUUGACCCUAGUCAAGAAGGUGCUACAUUCUAUCCCUUUGGGAAUAGAUAACAU
RNAcentral lists this non-coding RNA (104 nucleotides) under Allomuricauda sp. RNAcentral describes it as "Muricauda sp. SAM-I sequence". It matches the Rfam family "SAM riboswitch aptamer (S box leader)". From Rfam's summary of the family: The SAM riboswitch is found upstream of a number of genes which code for proteins involved in methionine or cysteine biosynthesis in Gram-positive bacteria. The SAM riboswitch acts at the level of transcription termination control. Lineage: Bacteria; Pseudomonadati; Bacteroidota; Flavobacteriia; Flavobacteriales; Flavobacteriaceae. The record is from RNAcentral.